UACGGAAGGAGCAGUGGGGAAUAUUGCACAAUGGGCGCAAGCCUGAUGCAGCCAUGCCGCGUGUAUGAAAAAGGCCUUCGGGUUGUAAAGUACUUUCAGUCGUGAGGAAGGUGUUAAGGUUAAUAACCUUAGCAAUUGACGUUAGCGACAGAAGAAGCACCGGCUAACUCCGUGCCAGCAGCCGCGGUAAUACGGAGGGUGCGAGCGUUAAUCGGAAUUACUGGGCGUAAAGGGCACGCAGGCGGUUAAUUAAGUUGGAUGUGAAAUCCCCGGGCUUAACCUGGGAAUGGCAUUCAAGACUGGUUAGCUAGAGUCUUGUAGAGGGGGUAGAUUCCAUGUGUAGCGGUGAAAUGCGUAGAGAUGUGGAGGAUACCGGUGGCGAAGGCGGCCCCUGGACAAGACUGACGCUCAUGUGCGAAAGCGUGGGAAGCAAACAGGGAUUAGAUACC
RNAcentral lists this ribosomal RNA (449 nucleotides) under uncultured bacterium. RNAcentral's name for it is "bacterial SSU rRNA". It matches the Rfam family "Bacterial small subunit ribosomal RNA", at positions 340 to 786 of the family's 1533-position model. The record is from RNAcentral.